CCUACGGGGGACAGCAGUGAGGAAUAUUGGUCAAUGGACGAGAGUCUGAACCAGCCAAGUAGCGUGAAGGAUGACUGCCCUAUGGGUUGUAAACUUCUUUUAUAAAGGAAUAAAACGAGGCACGUGUGCGGUUUUGCAUGUACUUUAUGAAUAAGGAUCGGCUAACUCCGUGCCAGCAGCCGCGGUAAUACGGAGGAUCCGAGCGUUAUCCGGAUUUAUUGGGUUUAAAGGGAGCGUAGGCGGGUUGUUAAGUCAGUUGUGAAAGUUUGGGGCUCAACCCUAAAAUUGCAGUUGAUACUGGUGUCCUUGAGGACAGGAGAGGUAGGCGGAAUGCGUGGUGUAGCGGUGAAAUGCUUAGAUAUCACGCAGAACUCCGAUUGCGAAGGCAGCCUGCUGGACUGUAACUGACGCUGAUGCUCGAAAGUGUGGGUAUCAAACAGGAUUAGAUACCCCUGUAGUC
This 460-nucleotide ribosomal RNA is filed under the name uncultured bacterium. RNAcentral describes it as "partial 16S ribosomal RNA". It matches the Rfam family "Bacterial small subunit ribosomal RNA", at positions 338 to 795 of the family's 1533-position model. The record is from RNAcentral.